CAGGAGAAUCACUUGAACCCGGGAGGCGGAGUUCACGUGCCUGCUUGGUUUCCUAGAAUAUCUUCUCCAUAAGACAUGAGAUUCAAGCCUGGGAUAUUGUAGUGAAGAAGAGAGAAAGAGAAUGGCAACACCUGAGUUCCAGGAGUCAGCCUGCUAGUAGUAACAGCUAAGUCUUGGUGUUGCUAUGGGGUGGUCUGGCUCUUCAACUAGGCUUUGAUAUUCUUCUAUUGGACAUAAACAAUCUCAGAAAACGUUAAUAUCAGACAAGGCUAUUCUGUCACCAUGAUAGACCAAGACUAAGGCAAGACCACUUCAUAAUAAUUCCUGUACAAAGGCAAAAUAUGAACAUUGUCCACAUCAAAUAAGUGACUAAACAUUUCUUUAAACCAGUUAAUACGAGUGAAUGCUAUUUCCUUAUGAAACAGUGUUAGACUUGCUCUCAUCUAUCUCCCUUCUAGAUUAAACUCAGUCAUAGAAUUGUCUAAACUUUAUGAUAGCAUCCAAUCCAGAGUAAGCCCACUUCUUUCAAUCCUCCCGAAAAUCACUAAAGCAAAGUUCAGAUAGAGUAAGUCAUUUCUAAAACCCAUUUACAGAGAUGCUCCACAAUUCCCCAUGAUGUGCAUUGUCCUUUGCUACGAUGGGAAAUUAACUCAACUUGUUCAAAUACAGGUGUGUUCUUUUUUCUCCUUAGUAGAGGGCAUUGAAUACAAGAGAGAGAGAAGAGAACACAAAGCAGUUUCAGAAAAACACCCAAAAUAAAUCACAAGAAGUAUACCCAAAAUACUUGAAACUUUUCUUGUGUUCCACCAAAAUCUCUAAAUCCCAGAGUAUAUCCUUGAAUUUCAAUUCCAUCAUGUUAGAAUUUAUUUUCAAAGAUGGAGGAUAGAGUAAAUGGUCAAUGCUUCUCUGGUGCAGAGAGGGGUCUUCUUAAAUAUACCCCUAACUUUAUGUCCCAUUGAAAAAAGUAAUAAAAGUAAAUUAAUUAAGAGAAUAUUGACCUCUGAAAAAAUUGCUUGCUCCUUCUUACAGAUAUUUAUGUCAGAGCACAGGGAAUAGUAUUUUAUCACCUUCCUGACUUUUUAUUCCCAUUGCAUAAAUCUGUCAGUGAGCAAGCUCUAUCCCCAGCUGGGCUGGUCUAGCUACAAAAUAAGACAGGCAGAUACCAAUGCAAAACUGUGGUUUAUUUUUGAAAAACUUUUACCUCUGCUUUCAUUUUGGCUUUUAAUAAGUUUGACAAUUCUCAGCAUUUUUUUUUUUUGCUUUUUUGUCCAAAUUUCCUGCCUGAUGGGGAAGUCUGAGGAUGAUUAAUGUUCAAGAAAGUUGUGAGGAAAUGUGCCACCCAAGUUUAAUGCAUUAUUAUUUUACUAAAUCACAAUUUUCUUGGUGUCCAUAUCAGUAGCCUAACCUUAUGCAGUAAUAACUGAUUCAGACUUCAUUUAUAAAACGGAAGGGAAAAAUGCAAGAAUAAAAAGGAAGAGAAUUCACAGCAGAGCAAAGAGAAAUUACUGCCAUAUGAACUCUAACACUGUAGCAUUCUUUCACGGUCUGGUACUUUUUAAUCUUGAGUCAUAGAUGGAAAAAUAAAGGAAAAAAAUUGAGGCACAACCAUUCUACAGUAGGCAAGGCAAUUGAGAUUGCUUGGAUUCAUUACUCUGAACUCCAGCAAACAGCUACAGAAUGCCUAGAAUUCCCCAGACAUGACUAUUACAGCUCUCUGUGGUGGCUCAACAGACUUCGUUUUCAGAUAGGUUAUUUGGAGCACCAAUUUUCUUUCUAAAAAUCUUUGUUUUGGCCUUGAUUUGGAAAUAACCUAUGACCGUAGUAUUUAUUUUUCUGCUUAAGAAUUCAUAGAGAAUUUUGGUUUGGGCAGCAUGACAACUUUUACUUAAUAAAAAUAUGAGAAAAAUAUAUAGUUAUAUAGGCUGAUUCCUUUUCACAAUAACUCUACUGAGCUCAUAUAAUUCAAUCUAGUUUAUUUGUUUUUGUUUUCAUUUUUCUUUAUGUCUCUGACUGAGGCCCAGUGGGCACACUCAAUUUGGAAGGGUUUUAGAAAACAUGGCUGAAAAAUGAUGAAUUACGUAUGUAUUAAAUUGAUGUUCACAAUUUCCUGUAAGUAUAAUCUCUUUUCAUGAAAGUGAUGACUCUUUCAUAAUAGCUGAACUUUAUAAACACACGCACACACAAACUAAAUUAAAUUAAAUUAAAUAUGUCCAGGUAAUAUUUCUAAAUAUAUAUAGAAAGUUAAUCUAAAUUCUAAAUACCUUGUUGAUGUAUGCAGUAUUUUAAAGUCAUUUGGGGGAUAACAAUUCUGGCAUUGUCCUAUAGCAACAAUAAAGAGAGGCAGUUUAAAAACAGCAAUGUAAAGAAGGAUUUCAAGCCAACAUUAAUGGUGUGAUUUAGUCAAGCCCUUUUUAUUGUGGAAUUUUAUAAACCAUUCAAAAUUAUACUUAUAGCUAACAUUUCAAUAUAUUAAAAAUGCUCACAAUAAAAAUUAAUUUCUAAAAAGGCAAAUGAAUGGAGGAUGCAUAUGCAAUAUGUCCUUAACUAUAAAUAUGUUGAAAGAUGAGAGAUCAUGUGGCUGAUAGGCCAGUUGAUACAUAAUAAAAAGAAUAAAUAUAAAGAGACAAAGAGAGAAAAAAAGGAAUAAGAAAGGAAGAACAUAAAGGAAGAAGGAAGAGAGGGAGAGAGGAAGAAAGCAAUAGACGGAGGAAAGGAAAAGGUAGGAGGAAAAAAGACAAAGCUAGCAGGAAACCAAUAUAUAUAUAAUAAAUAUUAAUGUUAAGAAUAUAUUAAUUAAUGGAAGUGUUAAUGAUCUGUGAGUGGUCUGCCCAGAUGUGAUUCUUACUAUACUAUUACAUAGCCCAAAUUUUCUUAAUUGGACAUACAUUUUCUGUAGCCAGAAAAUUAAAAUAUUAAUUUCAGAAAAAAAUUGUUAUUUCUAUCCUCUAAAUGCAUGCCCCAAUGAAUAAUAGUCAAAUAUUAAAAUUACACACACAAAAGUUGUGAAAUAGAAGACUAUAUAUAUUUUUUCAUUAACAUAAACAGAAAAAUUCCUACUAGCUCUUCACAUCAGGAUUUGUAUGACCCAUUAACGUGUUCAAAUGCAACAUUGCUCAUUAAAGGAAGAGUUCUUACAACUCAAUUCAAGGUAAUUAUUAUUUUUAUUUUCUUUGUACUAAUGUCAUUUUGAAUAAAAUAUAUUCAUCAUUAAAACUUUUAUGAGCUCCUACAAGUGCAAAAGAAAAGAAUUUUGAUUGAUGUUUCUGACUGUUGAAUGUUAACCUCUAUCCUAAAGAUUGCUCACACAUAAUGGAAAAGUUAAUUCCCACUACAGUGGUAAUAUUCAUUGUACAGAUGAGGGGACAAACAUUAUGGUAUACACUAACUUCUAGCCUGACAUGGUAUUUCCAUUAAUCUGAAUCUAUCAUUAGUCUUUACUUUGGAACCUAAGCAAAACUGCAUCAACACUUACAGGUGGAUCAUAAAGACAAUUGUGAAAAUCAGUACCUGGAUUUUCAAAAAUGUUUAAUUGAUACUUUCAAUAUUCUUUUUUGAGAUAUUUUUCCUCUUCCAGGCAAUAAGGCCCCAGCAACUGACCUCACAGGAAUAGUCCCUUGCUUCCUAGCUUGGCAGCACCCCACACUGUUGGUCUUGCAACAGGUAUGCAGAUACACACAAAAUGAAAAAAAAGCACAAGACAGAGUGAAUGGAUGUAUUUAGGUCCUGGUUACUUGACUAUAAUUUGUGAGAUAAAGUAUUUCUAAAGAGUAUUUUCCACAAUUCAUCCAAGUCUCUGUUUCAGCAUCCUAAUUCAAUAUUUGUACUUAUUAACCUACAGACUUGGAUAACAAAAAACUCA
Molecule: long non-coding RNA, 3859 nt
Filed under: Homo sapiens (human)
Lineage: Eukaryota; Metazoa; Chordata; Mammalia; Primates; Hominidae
Description: HSALNT0313269
Source: RNAcentral